Molecule: ribosomal RNA, 449 nt
Filed under: uncultured bacterium
Lineage: Bacteria
Description: bacterial SSU rRNA
Rfam family: Bacterial small subunit ribosomal RNA
Source: RNAcentral
AGCGAACGCUGGCGGCAGGCCUAAAACAUGCAAGUCGAACGCCCGUAGCAAUACGGGAGUGGCAGACGGGUGAGUAACACGUGGGAACGUACCCUUUGGUUCGGAACAACACAGGGAAACUUGUGCUAAUACCGGAUAAGCCCUUACGGGGAAAGAUUUAUCGCCAGAGGAUCGGCCCGCGUCUGAUUAGCUUGUUGGUGAGGUAACGGCUCACCAAGGCUACGAUCAGUAGCUGGUCUGAGAGGAUGAUCAGCCACACUGGGACUGAGACACGGCCCAGACUCCUACGGGAGGCAGCAGUUAGGAAUCUUGGACAAUGGGCGCAAGCCUGAUCCAGCCAUGCCGCGUGAGUGAUGAAGGCCUUAGGGUUNUAAAGCUCUUUCAGCGGGGAAGAUAAUGACGGUACCGCAGAAGAAGCCCCGGCUAACUUCGUGCCAGCAGCCGACGGU